This 460-nucleotide ribosomal RNA is filed under the name uncultured Treponema sp. Its description in RNAcentral is "partial 16S ribosomal RNA". It matches the Rfam family "Bacterial small subunit ribosomal RNA", at positions 341 to 792 of the family's 1533-position model. Lineage: Bacteria; Pseudomonadati; Spirochaetota; Spirochaetia; Treponematales; Treponemataceae. The record is from RNAcentral.
ACGGAAGGCAGCAGCUAAGAAUAUUCCGCAAUGCACGAAAGUGUGACGGAGCGACGCCGCGUGGAUGAUGAAGGCCGGAAGGUUGUAAAGUCCUUUUAAGCAUGAAGAAUAAGUUAUAUCAGAGAAAGGUAUAAUGGUGACGGUAGUGCUUGAAUAAGCAACGGCUAAUUACGUGCCAGCAGCCGCGGUAACACGUAAGUUGCGAGCGUUGUUCGGAAUUAUUGGGCGUAAAGGGCAUGUAGGCGGUUUUGCAAGCUUGGUGUGAAAGGCAGGAGCUUAACUCCUGGACUGCGUUGAGAACUGCAAGACUAGAGUGACUGAGGUGCAAUCAGAAUUCCUGGUGUAGGGGUGAAAUCUGUAGAUAUCAGGAAGAAUACCAAUGGCGAAGGCAGGUUGCAAGCAGAUGACUGACGCCGAGGUGCGAAGGUGCGGGGAGCAAACAGGAUUAGAUACCCUGGUA